GACGAACGCUGGCGGCGUGCUUAACACAUGCAAGUCGAACGGAAAGGCCCUUCGGGGUCCUCGAGUGGCGAACGGGUGAGUAACACGUGGGUGAUCUGCCCUGCACUUUGGGAUAAGCCUGGGACACUGGGUCUAAUACCGAAUAGGACCACGCGCUUCAUGGUGUGUGGUGGAAAGCUUUUGCGGUGUGGGAUGGGCCCGCGGCCUAUCAGCUUGUUGGUGGGGUAAUGGCCUCCCAAGGCGACGACGGGUAGCCGGCCUGAGAGGGUGACCGGCCACACUGGGACUGAGAUACGGCCCGGACUCCUACGGGAGGCAGGGGUGGGGAAUAUUGCACAAUGGGCGCAAGCCUGAUGCGGCGACGCCGCGUGAGGGAUGACGGCCUUCGGGUUGUAAACCUCUUUCAAUAGGGACGAAGCGCAAGUGACGGUACCUAUAGAAGAAGCACCGGCCAACUACGUG
This 462-nucleotide ribosomal RNA is filed under the name uncultured bacterium. RNAcentral's name for it is "partial 16S ribosomal RNA". It matches the Rfam family "Bacterial small subunit ribosomal RNA", at positions 28 to 507 of the family's 1533-position model. The record is from RNAcentral.